GAAAUUAGGCGCAUAGACCAAGUCAAAAGGGUGUCUGUUCCUUCCCCCAAUGCUAGUCUCUUUUAUUACUUUAAUUUAAAGCCUAUUUCAAAACUUUUUGCUUAAAAACAUUUCAAUUCUUGUUUGUUUUUUCUUAAAAAAAACUUUUGAGAUACUCUCAACUCACGCCUCCUCUUCUCCCCUUUUCAGCCGGCACCGAUCCCGUCAAAGAUCUAUCGUGCCAUGGCCACUGAUGAAGGCCCGAUUCUGGCGACGGGCUCACGAUAAUCGGUACUUCCCUUCCUUUACUUCUUGAAUUUCGUAUAUAAAAAGAAUGAAAUAAAAAAAACCGAAAGAAAAUCAAAGAUAGAAAAAUAAUCACCUUCAAAAGAUCUUGUUUGAAUCAAUUUUGUUUUCGUGCUUUUUCGUACUCAAUCCGUAUUCAAUUUCUCUAAAAAAAAGAGUCAAAAAAAAAAAAGAACCCUUUACAAUCAAAAUUCAGAGGCUUUAUACCCCAAAACAAGCAGUUUUUGGCCAUUUUGCUCAUGCUGCAGGUCGUGAAAACAUGGGGGCGGAGAACAUAGACGUGGGGCGAGCAAUGCGUGAGUCGGGGGUCGUGCGUGGUGCGUGGUGCGUGGAGGCUGUUGGUGGCCAUUGCUACGGCGCGAAAUAGAUGGAAACCCUCAAGUUUUCGAAUUUGGGCCUAGCGUUGUUGGGCCAUUUGUAACUUGGCUUGUAUUUUGGGCUGUUUUAUGUAAUUGGGUAUUUGUGCUUAUUUGUAAAUGGACUCAUUUGAUGAUUUGUUUUAAUUUUGGUUUUUUGUAUGUGUAAUCUGGGCCAAAAUUGGGUCUUACAGCUGCCCCUCUUUACCCGUUGUUGUGUAAUUAGAACGGAGCAAGGACCCUAAAAGGACCAAUUUUGCCCGGUCUUGCCAAAUCUUCGACUGUUCUUCUUCAAGUAGUCUUGUAACACCCCUUAAUCCUAAACUGUCGCCUGAAUAGGGUUACGAGGCGUUACCGAACAUAUUGGUUAAUUUACAAACAAUUCAUGAAUAAACAAAAAAUAUAUUAAAAUUAAAUCAUUAAGUCUCUUUUAUGAACUUUCGAGACUUAAAUCACGUAUUAUAAAUGAAUAGGGACUUAUUCAAGUACUUCGGAAAUUUUUCGUAAUAUAAUAAUUAUUAUUAUUAUUAUUUUAAAAAAAUUCAAUAUAACCCCUUUAGAAACAUCUGACCUUCCCUGCAAUUUCAAAUUUGCAACCAAUUCAACAUAACAACAACUCAACAAAUACAAUCUUCAUCCAAAUCACAUUCGUUUCAUAACAGUAUCACUAAUCCUUAUUUUAUCUAACAUUAUAUCCAUUCAUACUUUCAAGUAGUAUUUAAACAUCUUAAUUAAUUUCCAUUCAUAUCAUAUAUCAACUUAUAUUAACUUAACUAAUAUAUUCAUGAGUUGAUACAAAACAUAGUCAUAUAAGCUCCUAUACAUGCCAUAUAAACCAUUUAAAGUAUUUAUAACAAAAUCUACCGGAAAGUCGAGAUAGUGUGACUUGAAUGUGAUGAUCUGAUCCUCUGACCUUCUCAUUAAUCUACAAAGAGCAAUAAACAUUACAAGUAAGCUGACUAUAGUUUAGUAAGUUCGUCGGCUUAAACCAUAAACCUUACCAAAUAUUAGUUUCCAAAAUUUAAAUCAUAUGGACAUUUCAAGUAAGUUACUUUCAUCCUGUAAGUCAUAAUCUCAUUUUAAAAAAUAAUUUACUUAAUUGAACUCAUAAAUAAUGAUAACAUUACUUACAUUUCUUUUUCCAUACGUUACAAUUACGACUUACCAACUUGUCUAUUUAAAGAACGACUUACGGAUUUGAGUACAUCGUGAUCUGAAGCUCGAAGUCUAACUGAAGCACAUAAGUGCUAAACGAAAGCUCGAAGGCUAACUGAAGCACAUAAGUGCUAAACGGAAGCCCGAAGGCUAACUGAAGCUCACUAGAGCUAAACUGAAACCCCAAAAGGGUUAACUGAAACUCAUAUGAGUUAACGGAAGCUCGUAAGAGCUAAACAGAAAGCAAACACGAGAAUUUGCAACAAAUGCUGAAUCUCGGUGUACUUGGGUAAUUUACCGUCAAUUUAUCUUUUUCACUGAAAUAUCGUACUCAUUUUCUGCGUUCCAUUCCUCCGAAAUACUCAGUUCAAUUUCAUAACUUUUGUACGCAAUUUACUUAUUUUCAACAAUUAAUAUACAUAAAUAUUAAUCACUAUUCAUAAUAUAAUAUUGAAAUUUAAUAAUUUUCUGUAUGAACUUACCUGGAACAAUUUACAGCAGUUGUAGAGAUUUCUAAAACUAUUCCAGAAUUUUCUCUUUUCCUCGUUUAUCCUCGAUUUCUUGAUCUAUAAUAUAAAAUUUUUCACUUAUCAGUAUUGACUUCACAUUCAUUCUAUUUCACAUCCUUAAUGUUUAUAACCCGCUUAUAAGUAACAUUAUCUGCAAUUUCACAUUUAUCUAUGUAUAUUCAAUCCUGUCUGUCCAUGUCAUAGGCACUAAAUUAUUUUUAUCUUGAUCUAAAGAACUCCAAAUUAGGAUCCGCUAAUUUUCAUGAAACUAAACUCACAUAUCUUCUUAUCAUAAAAUUUUCAGAAUUUUUGGUUUAGCAAAUAAGUACAGUUUAUUCUUUAAAGUCACCCAUAUUCUGCUGUCUGAUAGUUCCGACCUUUCUUCACUAAAAAUUAAUUAUCUCCUCGUAAAAAAUUCAGAUGAUAUUCUCAUUUAUUUCUUUUGAAAAUAGACUCAUUCAGGAUUCUAUACAUAUAAAUUUAAUCCCCUAAUCAUUUUUAUUCAAUUUUUUAUGAUUUUUCAAAGUUAGAACAUGGGAACUCGUAUUCAUUCUGACUUUGUCUCACAAAAUUCAUUAUAUCUCAUGAUUUACAAAUCCAUUGCUUACACUGUUUCUUCUAUGAGAAACUAGACUCAAUAAGCUUUAAUUUCAUAUUUUUUCAUCUUCUAAUUCGAAUUAGUCUACUGCUGCUGUCCAAAAUUAGUCUACUGCUGCUGUCCAAAAUUGUUUUAGUGCAAGCUGUUUAUUACCAUUUUUCCCCUAAGCUUUUAAUAAAUAACAAUUCCAUCCCUACUCAAUUAGCCUCUCAAUUGAGCUGAUUUUUAUCAAUUAAUACUUUAUCUAGACAUUAUAAGAUAUUUCACAACUAUUAAAAUUCAGAAUCUCCACAUAAAACCUUAACUUCAACUCUUUCACCAUUAGGUCCCAAACAUUCACUUUCCAUUCAAUUCUUUCAAUAAAAUCAGCAUAUAAACAAUUUCAAGCUCUAAUUCCAAGCUAAAUCAUCGUAUACUUCCAGCACAUAUUCAUAGAAACUUCCAAUUUCUUUCAUAGAAUCAAAAACUAAUGAAUUCAACAAGUGGACCUAGUUGUAAAAGUCAUAAAAACACAAAAAUUUCAAGAAAUAAUCAAGAAUUGAACUUACUUGCAGUAAAAAUAUGAAAAACCAGCUUAAGAAAACCCUUCUAUUGUGUUUUUGAUGAUGAGAAUGCAGAAAAUAAAGAGAAAUCUAGAUAAUUCCACUUUAGUCCUAGCUUUGUUAAGUAAAUUUUGCAAUAUUCAAAUUUGCCCUUAAUUCAUCAAUUUUCCUGCUGAUUUCAUGCCCCUUGUCGUCCAGCCCAAAUAGACCUUAGGUCUAUUUGCCUUUUAAACCCUCUUUCUUUUAUCAUUUAAACUAUUUAAUCAUUUCUCAUAAUUUUACAUUUGUUACAAUUUAGUCCUUUUAAUUCAAUUAAUUAUCGGAACUUUAAAAUUUCUUGACGAAACUUUAAUACUAACUUAUUAACACUCCAUAAAUAUUUUUAAAAAUAUUUAUGACUCGUUUUAAAAUUUUUAAACUCUCUAUACUUCGUUUUCGAUUCUAAUUAUUUUAAAUGUUUAUUUUUAGUACACUAUUCGCUAUUUCAAAAUUUUUUCUAACUUUACAUUUUACUUAUAUUCACUAAAUUAAAAAUAUUUUCCACUCAUUUUUUGAAUUUAGUGAUCUCAAAUCACUGUUCCGACACCACUGAAAAUUUAGGCUAUUACAAUUCUCCCCCCUUAAGAAAUUUCGUCCUCGAAAUUUGUUACCUGAAAAUAGGUUCAGAUAUUGUGAUUUCAUUCAUUCCUCUGUUUCCUAGGUUGCCUCCUCCACACCAUGUCGAUGUCACAACACUUUAACUAAUGGUACUUUUUUAUUUCGUAGUUUGUUAAUUUCCCGAGCCAAAAUCUUUACUGGUUCUUCUGAAUAAGUCAUAUCUGACUGAAGCUGAAUUUCUGUAUGUGGAAUCACAUGUGAAGGGUCUGAUCUAUAACGUCUCAGCAUAGACACAUGGAACACAUUAUGAAUCUUCUCAAGCUCUGGAGGUAAAGCUAACCGAUAUGCUACAAGGUUGACUCUUUCAAUAAUCUUGUAUGGUCCAAUAAAUCUUGGACUUAGCAUUCCUUUUCUGCCAAAUUGUAAUACUUUUUCCACGGCGACACCUUUAAACUCUAUUUCUCUUCUUUUCAAGUCAGCAUAUGAUUUCUGACGAUCCGAAGUAGCUUUUAGACAAUUUCGGAUAAUCCGAACCUUUUCUUCAGUUUCCCGAAUUAAAUCGGCCCCACUAACUUGGAUUCACUUAAUUCUAACUAAUGCAAUGAAGUCUUACAUUUUCUUCCAUAUAAAGCUUCAAAGGGCGCCAUCUUUAUGCUGGAUUGAUAACUGUUGUUGUAAGGAAAUUCAGCCAGUAGUAAAUACUUUUCCCAACUACCACAAAACUCAAGUAUACAACAUCUCAACAUGUCUUCCAAAAUCUGAAUUACCCGCUCUGAUUGCCCAUCAGUCUGAGGAUGAAAAGCGGUACUAAAAUUUAGCUUUGUGCCUAAAGCUUCCUGUAGUUUGCUCCAUAACCUCGAUGUAAACCUUAGAUCUCGAUCCGAAAUAAUGGAUGUUGGAACCCCAUGAACCUCACAAUCUCAGAGAUAUACAGUUCUGCUAACUUCUCCAGUGGAAAAUCCAUUCUGACUGGAAUAAAAUGUGCUGAUUUUUUCAAUCUAUUGACAAUUACCCAGAUUGAAUCUUUCUGCUUCGGGGUCACAGGUAACCCGGAUACAAAAUCCAUCGUAACAUGUUCCCACUUCCACUCUGAAAUUAUAAUAGGUUGUAAUAAAACCGUUGGUACCUGAUGUUCUGCGUUCACCUAUUGACAUAUUAAACACUUUGCUUCAAAUUCACAAAUUUCCCUUUUCAUACCAGGCCACCAAUACAUCUGUUUCAAAUCACAAUACAUUUUUAUACUUCCAGGGUGAAUAGAAUACCUACUACUGUGAGCUUCAGAAAGAAUAUCAUUUUCAAGUCUGAAUUAUUUGGAACACAAAUUCUUUUACUAUAGUAUAACAUACCAUUCCCAUCAAUGCUAUACUCUGAAUCCUGCUUAUCUCGAGCUAUUUGUUUCUUUGAUACCAACUUCGAAUCUUCAUCUUGCAACUCACGAAUUCGUUGGAGAAAUACAGGCUUGGCUUUCAAUUCCGCUAUUAUAGAUCCAUCUUCACUAACAGACAAAUGGGCUUUCAUUGACCGGAGUGCAAACAAAGAUGAAUUCUGACUGAGUGCGUCAGCAACUAUAUUAGCCUUCCUCGGAUGAUAAUCGAUAACAAGGUCAUAAUCUUUUAAUAACUCAAGCCAUCUUCUCUGUCUCAAAUUCAACUCUUUCUGCGUCAUUAAAUACUUCAAACUUUUAUGAUCUGUAUACACAUAACAUUUUUCACCAUAUAAAUAAUGUAUCCAAAUUUUCAAAGCAAAAACAAUUGCAGCGAACUCCAAAUCAUGCGUAGGAUAAUUCUUCUCGUGUGAUUUUAGCUGCCGAGAAGCAUAGGCCACCACUUUUCCCAACUGCAUCAGCACACAACCUAAACCAUUCAAAGAUGCAUCACUUUAUACAACAUAUGGCACACCUGAUUCUGGUUGAGUCAACACUGGAGCUUUUGUCAACAUAUUCUUCAACUGAUCAAAACUUUGUUGGCAUUCGUCAGACCACACAAACUCAACAUUCUUCUGUAGCAAUCGUGUAAUAAGCAAAGCAAUCAUUGAAAUUUUUUUAAUAAAACGACGAUAAUAUCCAGCUAAACCUAGAAAACUUCGUACUUCCAUUACAUUCCUUGGAGUUUUCCAAUUUACCACUGCAGAUACUUUACUCGGAUCUACUCGAAUCCCUUCGGCUGAAACAAUGUGACCUAGAAAUCUAACCUCAUGAAGCCAAAAUUCACAUUUGCUGAAUUUUGCAUAUAAUUGCUUUUCUCGCAAAGUUUGUAGCACUAUCUUUAAAUGCUGAGCAUGCUCGGGUUCUGUCUUUGAAUAAAUCAGUAUAUCAUCGAUAAACACAAUUGCAAAUCUAUCCAAAUAAGGCUGAAAAAUCUGAUUCAUUAAGUCCAUAAAUCCAGCAAGGGCAUUAGUUAAACCAAAAGGCAUUACCAAAAACUCGUAAUGACCAUACCAAGUUUUGAAGGCAGUUUUAGGCACAUCACAUUCUUUAACUUUCAGUUGAUAAUAUCCGGAUUGAAGAUCUAUAUUUGAAAACACGGCAGCACCUUUCAACUGAUUAAACAAAUCAUCAAUGCGAGGCAAAGGAUAUUUAUUUUUAAUUGUAACCCUGUUUAGCUGCCUGUAGUCUAUGCACAGUCUUAGAGAUCCGUCUUUCUUUUUCACGAACAAAACUGGUGCACCCCAAGGUGACAUACUCGGUCUAAUAAACCCUUUAUCUAGUAAUUCCUGCAACUGUGUCUUCAGCUCUUUUAACUCAGCUGGUGCCAUACGGUAUGGUAUCACUAAUAUUGGAGCUGUCUCCGGUACUACAUCAAUCACAAAUUCAACUUCCCGAUCUAGUGGUAAACCCGGUAAUUCUUCAGGAAAUACAUUAGGGAAUUCAUUAACAACUGGCAACUGUUCUAGUUUUGGUUCAGAUCCUCGAGUAUCAAGGAUGUAAGCUAAAAAUACUUCAUUACCCUUCCGCAUUAACCUCUGAGCUGAAAAAGCUGAAAUAAUUUUAACAAUAUCAUUUGAAUUUUCAAGCUCAACAAACCUGUCUGACAUUUCAAACUGAUCCGCUUCUCACGACAAUUUACCACAGCAUCAUAUUUUUUCAACCAAUCCAUUCCUAGUAUAACAUCAAAUUCCCGAAAGGGUAGCAAAAUUAAAUCAGCAUGGAACUCACAGCCUUUUAUUUUCAGUGGACAAUUUCGACACAAUAAAUUUACUAUCACCUGUUGUCCUAACGGAUUAGUAACUUGAAUAUCAUAUUCAGUUGGUUCAAGAGACAAUUUCUUUUCUAAUGCUAAUACUGUGCAAAUAUAAGAAUGUGUAGACCUUGGGUUAAUUAAUGCAUAUACAAUAACAUCAAAGAGAUAGAAAGUACCAGCAAUAACGUCUGGAGCCGUGGCUUCUUCCCUAGCUCGGAUGGCGUAUGUACGUGCUGGUGCUCUAACCUCUGACCGAGCAACAGAAUCUUUUGCACUCGAGCGAGUAGCUGUUGUAGCUCUACUUUGACUCGUACGUUUACUUCUCUGAAAAGUAGUAAUAUUUUUCUCUUUCUGUUCUUCUUCAUAUUUUUGUAACAGAGGACAAUUCCGAAUAAAAUGAUCAGUGGCUCCACAUUUGUAGCAAGCUCCUGUUUUACCUCUGCAUUCACCCAAGUGGUAUUUUCCACAGUGUUGACAUUUAGACCUGGGAGUAUUUUGUACACUGGCUUCAAUAGCAAUUGAUCUUAUUGAUAUUCCACGAUCAGGUUGAGUUACUCUAGUCUUCGAUCGUUUAGGUACCGAUGUAGCUCGAAUGGAAUCCUCCUUAGACUUUUUAAUCGGAAAUGCUAAAAAUGAUUUGGAGGAGCUUCUUUUAUAAGAUUCUUUAUUUCUUCUUUCCUGUUGCAUCUUUCUGUUGUACACUUCUUCCAUCUUUUGAGCACAAUCUGAUAAAACCACAAAUUCUCGAAUUUUUGUACCACCUAUCAUCAUUCUGAUUUCAUUAUUCAGACCUUCUUCAAAUCGAACACACAUGUCUUCUUCUGUAGGAACAAUCUCUCGAGCAUAUCUGCUAAGGUAUACAAUCUCCCUCUCGUACUCAGCUACUGUCCGAUUUCCCUGUCGAAGAUCAAGAAAUUCUCUCUUUUUCUUUUCUAAAUAUCUUUUACCAACAUAUUUCUUUUUAAACUCGGCUUGGAAAAAUUCCCAAGUAAGUUUUUCGGCUGGUACCACAGCUUCUAUUGUCUCCCACCAGUGAUAUGCUUCUUCUUUUAACACGGAAACAGCACACCUUAAAUAGUCAUCAGGAGAACAAGCCAUUUCUUUAAAAACUCUUAUCGUGGUCUGCAACCAAUACUCAGCUUUUACUAGAUCAUCAUCUGACCUACCCCGAAAUUCUUCAGCCCUAAAUUUUCUGAGUUUUUCUACUAGAGUUCUCUUACUUGAUUCAGUUACCGAAGGAGGAGGUGGAGAAGCAACCGAGGACACUACUGGUGGUACUGUAGGAGGAAGAGGUUGCUGGGUCUGAUUCCUUUCCUGCAUCCUCUUAUUAUACCAUUGAUUCAUUACUCCAAUAAUCAUGUUUCUAAGUUCUUGUUCUCGCAUCAAGGAAAUUGGAACAUCGCUACUUGUCCCUUGUUCAGAUGUAUGUACUCUACUAUUUGCUUCUUCCUGUUCAGCAUGUUCAGGUCUAUCCGACAUUUUUACAAUCUAUUAAAAAAAUAAGGGUUAAAUCGGAUCAUACACAUCAUACUAUUACAGAUUUAUAUGGCAUGUAUUUCUAAACAUUUUACACAUCACGUUUAUUUCGAGAAUCGGCUAAACCGGGCUCUGAUACCAAUAAAUGUAACACCCCCUAAUCCCAAACUGUCGCCAGAAUAGAGUUACGAGGCGUUACCAAGCAUAUUGGUUAAUUUACAAAUAAUUCAUCAAUAAACAACAAAUAUAUUAAAAUUAAAUCAUUAAGUCUCUUUUAUGAACCCUCGAGGCCUAAAUCACAUAUUAUAAAUGAAUAGGGACUUAUUCAAGUACUCCGAAAAUUUUUUGUAAUAUAAUAAUAAUUAUUAUUAUUUUUAAAAAAAAUUCAAUAUAACCCCUUUAGAAACAUCUGACCUUCCCUGCAAUUUCAAAUUUGCAACCAAUUCAACACAACAACAACUCAACAAAUACAAUCUUCAUCCAAAUCACAUUCGUUUCAUAACAAUAUCACUAAUCCUUAUUUUAUCUAACAUUAUAUUCAUUCAUACUUUCAAGUAGUAUUUAAACAUCUUAAUUAAUUUCCAUUCAUAUCAUAUAUCAACUUAUAUUAACUUAACUAAUAUAUUCAUGAGUUGAUACAAAACAUAGUCAUAUAAGCUCCUAUACAUGCCAUAUAAACCAUUUAAAGUAUUUAUAACAAAAUCUAUCAGAAAGUCGAGAUAGUGUGACUUGAAUGUGAUGAUCCGAUCCUCUGACCCUCCCGUUAAUCUACAAAGAGCAAUAAACAUUACAAGUAAGCUGACUAUAGCUUAGUAAGUUCGUCGGCUUAAACCAUAAACCUUACCAAAUAUUAGUUUCCAAAAUUCAAAUCAUAUGGAAAUUUCAAGUAAGUUACUUUCAUCCUGUAAGUCAUAAUCUCAUUUUAAAAAAUAAUUUACUUAAUUGAACUCAUAAAUAAUGAUAACAUUACUUACAUUUCUUUUUCCACACGUUACAAUUACGACUUACCAACUUGUCUAUUUAAGGAACGACUUACGAAUUUGAGUACAUCGUGAUCUGAAGCCCGAAGUCUAACUGAAGCACAUAAGUGCUAAACGAAAGCCCGAAGGCUAACUGAAGCACAUAAGUGCUAAACGGAAGCUCGAAGGCUAACUGAAGCUCACUAGAGCUAAACUGAAACCCCAAAAGGGUUAACUGAAACUCAUAUGAGUAACGGAAGCUCGUAAGAGCUAAACAAAAAGCAAGCACGAGAAUUCGCAACAAAUGCUGAAUCUCGGUUUACUUGGGUAAUUUACCGUCAAUUCAUCUUUUUCACUGAAAUAUCGUACUCAUUUCCUGCGUUCCGUUCCUCCGAAAUACUCAGUUCAAUUUCAUAACUUUUGUACGCAAUUUACUUAUUUUCAACAAUUAAUAUACAUAAAUAUUAAUCACCAUUCAUAAAAUAAUAUUGAAAUUUAAUAACUAACCGUACGAACUUACCCGGAACAAUUUGCAGUAGUUGUAGAGAUUUCUGGAACUAUUCCGGAAUUUUCUCUUUUCCUCGUUUAUCCUCGAUUUCUUGAUCUAUAAUAUAAAAUUUUUCAGUUAUCAGUAUUGACUUCACAUUCAUUUUAUUUCACAUCCUUAAUGUUUAUAACCCGCUUAUAAGUAACAUUAUCUGCAAGUUCACUAUUUAUCUAUGUAUAUUCAAUGCUGUCUGUCCAUGUCAUAGUCACUAAAUUAUUUUUAUCUUGAGCUACAGAACUCCAAAUUAUGAUCUGCUAAUUUUCCCUAAAAAUAGAAUCACAUAUCUUCUUAUCAUAAAAUUUUCAGAAUUUUUGGUUUAGCCAAUAAGUAUAGUUUAUUCUUUAAAGUCACCCCUAUUCUGCUGUCUGACAGUUCUGACCUUUCUUCACUAAAAAUUAAUUAUCUCCUCGUACGAAAUUCAGAUGAUAUUCCCAUUUGUUUUUCUUGAAAAUAAACUCAUUCAUGAUUCUAUACAUAUAAAUUGAAGCCCAUAAUUAUUUUUUUUCAAUUUUUUAUAAAUUUUCAAAAUCAGAAUAGGGGAACCCAAAUUCAUUCUGACCUUGUCUCACAAAAUUCAUUAUAUCUCAUGAUUUACAAAUCCAUUACUUACAUGAGAAACUAGACUCAAUAAGCUUUAAUUUAAUAUUUUGUUCACCUUUUAAUUCGAUUUCUACAAUUUAUGGCGAUUUUUCAAAGUUAGUCUACUGCUACUGUCCAAAAUUGUUUUAGUGCAAGCUGUUUAUUACCAUUUUUCCCCUAAGCUUUUAAUAAAUAACAAUUUCGUCCUUACUCAAUUAGCCUUUCAAUUGAGCUGAUUUUUCUCAAUUAAUAAUUUACCUAGACAUUAUAAGCUAUUUCACAACUAUUAAAAUUUAGAAUUUCCACAUAAAACCUUAACUUCAACUCUUUCACCAUUAGGUCCCAAACAUUCACUUUCCAUUCAAUUCUUUCAAUAAAAUCAGCAUAUAAACAAUUUCAAGCUCUAAUUCCAUGCUAAAUCAUCAUAUACUUCCAGCACAUAUUUAUAGAAACUUCCAAUUUCUUUCAUAGAAUCAAAAACUAAUGAAUUCAACAAGUGGACCUAGUUGUAAAAGUCAUAAAAACAAAAAAAUUUUGAAGAAAUAAUCAAGAAUUGAACUUACUUGUAGUAAAAAUAUAAAAAACCAGCUUAAGAAAACCCUUCUAUGGUGUUUUUUCUGAUGAGAAUGCAGAAAAAUAAAGAGAAAUCUAGAUAAUUCCACUUUAGUCCUAGCUUUAUUAAGUAAAUUUUGCAAUAUUUCAAAUUUGCCCUUAAUUCAUCAAUUUUCCUGCUGAUUUCAUGCCCUUUGCCGUCCAGCCCAAAUAGACCUUGGGUCUAUUUUCCUUUUAAACCCUCUUUCUUUUAUCAUUUAAUCUAUUUAAUCAUUUCCUAUAAUUUUACAUUUGUUACAAUUUAGUCCUUUUAAUUCAAUUAACUAUCGGAACUUUAAAAUUCCUUGACGAAACUUUAAUAUUAACUUAUUAACACUCCAUAAAUAUUUAUAAAAAUAUUUAUGACUCGUUUUAAAAUUUUUAAACUCUCGAUACUUCGUUUUCGUUUCUAAUUUUUUUAAAUGUUUAUUUCUAGUACACUAUUCGCUAUUUCAAAAAUUUUCCUAACUUUACAUUUAACUUAUUUCACUAAAUUAAAAAUAUUUUCCACUCAUUUUUUGGAUUUAGUGAUCUAAAAUCACUGUUCCGACACCACUGAAAAGUUAGGCUAUUACAAGUGUUAUAGCAACUUCAGGAAGAUAAGGUUUGUGACUUCAACCCGCUCCACUACAACUUUAGGGAAACAAAGCCGGUGGCUAAAAUAUUCUCCAUAGCUAAUACAUGGAGACAAGACUCAUCAUCUUCGAUCUGCUCCAUAGCCGAUACAUGGAGAUAAGAUCUAUAGUUUUCAGUCCGCUUCCUGCAACUUCAGGAAGAUAAGACUUGUAUCUUCAACCUGCUCUUUGCAACUUCAGAGAGAUAAGGUUAGUGGCUAAAAUUUGCUACAUAGCCGAUACAUGGAGAUAAGAUCUAUAAUUUUCAGUCUGCUUCUUGCAACUUCAGGAAGAUAAGACUUGUAUCUUCAACCUGCUCUCUGCAACUUCAGAGAAAUAAUGUUGGUAGCUAAAAUCUACUCCAUAGCCGAUACUUGGAGAUAAGACUCACCAUCUUCGAUCUACUCCAUAGCCGAUACAUGGAGAUAAGAUCUAUAAUUUUUAAUCUGCUUCCUGCAACUUCAAGAAGAUAAGACUUGCAUAUUGAGCCUGCUCCACUGCAACUUCAGAGAGAUAAGGCUUGUCACUUCAACCUACUCUACUGCAACUUCAGGGAGAUAAGGUUUGUAAUCUUCGAUCUAUUCUGCUGCAACUUCAGGGAGAUAAGAUCUGACUUCACCAAUGCUACUACACUGUCCUUUGAGACAUGUCCUGUAGAUUCGGUUUCAUAUAUCUAUCCUUAUGCCAAAUUAUUAGGAUGCUAUGAUCGAAAUAAAUCAAAUGCUCCUAACUAGAUAUGAUGCUUAUGUCAAAUAAUUAGGAUGCUAUGAUCGAAAUGAAUCAAAUGCUCCUAACUAGAUGUGUUAUGAAUGAUAUGAAUGUAGAAAUGUCAUAAGAAUGAUUCCCCCUUUUUAAAAAAAAAAACUUAAAGUGUCAUCCCUCAUUAUUCAUCAGAGUUUUUUCACAUCGUAUUUUGCUGCCUUCCUGCUCGACUAGCAUUUCCAACAAAACCUACAGAAACAACCUAUUUUGCUCAACUGGUUUGCCCCAUUGCAACUUCAGGCUCUAUUUCACUGUAUUUCUAGAAUCAAAGAUUUGUACCAUCUUCAAACCCCCUCUUGUCACCUAAAAACUUUCAUUAAUUCGGUCUAUUACACCACACCUUAGCAUCAUGACCAGAUAUGUACGUUUGACAUUUAUAUUAAUGAGGAAUAUCAUGAUCCAUUCUUAUGCUUUGGCUGACACAAUAUCCUAUUUUGUUAUUCAAUCAAUAUCUUUGACUGAAAAUCUGAAGAGAUAAUCUCAAUUUGAUCACAAAUAUCCCACCCCUAAGUUGGGUAAGUUCUAAUCAAAAGUCCUAUUUCAGAUUCUUGUUCCAUUUAGAAACUCCCAGAGUAAUAUACCAAAACCUCUUUUGUAAAAGUAUUAUUAGACCAUUAAUCGUUAUUUCAAUACAAGUACGUGAGCACAAAGAUAAAGAUGGAUAAAACUGAAGUUUAUUAGGAAUAAGAUUCAAGAAAAAUAGAUUAAUCAAGGGAAGCAAAUAUUGCUAGAGUACAAAAAUAGGUAAAGGGGAACAAAAAUGAACGCCCCAAAUAUCGCAGCCUAAGCUCCUCCGUAUGAACUCCAUGAGGACCCUUUUGAGCUUAUCAUGUGCCUAAGAGAUCUAACGUAUUCUGUCGAUGCCCCAAGACAUGCGUACAUCCUCUUCAUUAAUUCCAGCAUAAUAAGACUACAACCUAAACCAUCAUUGGUCAAAAUUUGAAUUGCCCUUUUCGGGUUUUCAAUUCAAAACCCCUUUGGUCUCGAGGCGCCUUUUGCGGGUUUUCCCCUCUGUCUCUCCAUUUUUUUAGGCGCCCUUUGCAGGUUUUCACCUCUUAAGCGAAGUAUUUCAUGACUGAAUCCGAAUUUACUGGGUUAGGUAUGCUCCUACCAUUCAUCUCAGUUAGUAUCAGUGCUCCUCCAGAAAAAGCCUUCUUUACCACGUAAGGUCCUUCCCAGUUUGCCAUCAAUUUCCCUCUGAAAUCUUUUUGCAUAGGGAGAAUUUGUUUCAAUACCAAGUCCCCCUCAUGGAAUACUUUGGGGCGAACCUUUUUGUUGUAAGCUCGCAUCAUUCGCCUAUGGUACAUUUGACUAUGACAGAUAGCCUUCAGUCUUUUUUCUUCAAUCAAGUUCAGCUGAUCAUACUGGGACUGAAUCCAUUCUGCUUCAUCUAGCUUCAACUCUGAUAAAACUCGGAGAGAAGAAAUUUCGACUUCAAUGGGCAAAACUGCCUCCAUCCCAUAAACCAAUGAGUAAGGUGUUGCCCCAGUAGAAGUUCUGACAGAUGUUUGCUAGGCAUAAAGAGCAAAUGGUAACUUUUCAUGUCAAUCCUUGUAAGUCUCCGUCAUUUUCCCACGAUCUUUUUUAUAUUCUUAUUGACUGCAUCAACCGCACCAUUUAUCUUUGGGCGAUAUAGUGACGAGUUGUGGUGCUUAAUUUUGAAUUGCCUCCAGAUCUCUACUAUUACAUUGUUAUUCAAAUUCAACACGUUGUCAGAUAUGAUCCUUUCUGGCAUGCCAUACCGACAUAUAAUCUCCUUCUUCAAGAACUUGCUGACUGUCAACUUUGUGACGUUGGCAUAUGAAACAGCUUCUACCCACUUGGUGAAGUAAUCGAUGACCACAAAGAUGAAUCGAUGCCCAUUAAAAGCCUUCGGUGAAAUUGACCCAGUGACAUCCAUGCCCCACAUUGAGAAAGGCCACGGAGAAGUCAUGACAUGAAGGGGUGAAGGAGGCACGUGGAUCUUGUCACCAUAAAUUUGGCACUUAUGGCAUUUCUUGGCAUAGCUGAUGCAAUCUCCUUCUAUUAUGGACCAGUAGUUCUCGAAUCUCAUGAUUUUCCUAGCCAUUGUGCACCCAUUGGCAUGCAUCCCGCAGACACCCUCAUGGACUUCUUCCAGGAUUUUCUUAGCUUCAACAGCAUCAACACAUCUUAAUAGUACCUGAUCUUUCCUCCUUUUAUACAGGAUUUCUCCAUCCAAAACAUAGUCAUUGGCUAGCCUUCUCAAUAUUCUUUUAGCAUUUUCCGUUGCCUGGUUAAGGUAUUCACGAUUCUUCACAUAUCGUAAAAUAUCAUGAUACCAGAUAAUCAUCUCUUUCCUCUUCGUUCUCUAUAUUGCAACAAUGAGCUGUACCCUCAUAAAUACUCAUCUGGAUUAGCUUCAUAUUCUCUCAUCCAUUUACUCUGAUCAUAGAAGCUAAUGUAGCCAAGGCAUCUAUCAUCUGGUUUUUGUCUCGCGGGAGAUAAAAGAAAGUGAUAUCAUCAAACACCUUAAUUAGAUCCUGAACUAGCUCUCGAUAGUUUAUCAAUUUUGGGUUUCUUGUCUCCCACUCACCUUUGAGCCGAUAGAUCACCAGUGUAGAAUCCCUAUACACCUCUAACACUCUAAUUUUAUAUUCGAUGGCUGCACUAAUUCCCAUGAUACAUGCUUCGUACUCUGCCAUAUUAUUUGUGCAAUCAAAAUCCAAUUUGCAAGUGAACGGAUAAUGAUCUCCAGCUGGGGAUAUCAAGACUGCCCUAAUUCCAUUACCGACGGCACUUGAUGCUCCGUCAAAAUUUAGUUUCCACAGAUGAUCUUCUGAGGUGUCCUCUACGGUAGUUGCCACAUACAUUAGAUCUUCAUUUGGGAAAUCAAAACUCAAAGGCUCAUAAUCUUCCAAAGCUCUACUAGCUAAAAAAUCUGCUAUUACACUUCCUUUCACAGCCUUUUGACUCACAUAAACUAUGUCAAAUUCGAAAAGCAUAAUUUUCCAGCGGGUCAUCCUUCCACUCAAAGCAGCUGACUCCAUCAUGUACUUUAAAGGGUCCAAUUUUGAGAUUAACCCAGUCAUGUGGUACAACAUGUACUGCCUCAAUCUCCAAGUAGUCCAAACCAAAGCACAACAUAAUUUCUCAAUUGCCGAGUAUCUCAUUUCACACUCAGUGAAUUUCUUACUGAGGUAGUAUAUCGCAUUUUCUUUCUUUCCUGUUUUAUCAUGUUGACCGAGAACACAUCCCAUUGAAUUGUCAAAUACAAUAUCAACGGCUUAUCAGGGCUAGGUGGUAUUAGCACUGGGGGAUUAGACAAAUACUGUUUAACCUUGUCAAAGGUUUUCUGACACUCAUCAUCCCACACGCCCAGGUUGUGUUUCUUGAGAAGGCAAAAUAUGGGGUCACAUUUCUCAGUCAGUUGUGAAAUGAAUCGGGUAAUAUAAUUUAGUCUUCCCAAGAAACCUUGAACUUCUUUCUGAGUGUGCGACGGACGCAAUUUUUGUAUAGCCUUGACUUUGUCGGGGUCGACCUCAAUUCCCUUUUCGCUGACUAUGAAACCAAGCAGCUUCCCUGACCUAGCUCCAAAAGUACAUUUUGUUGGAUUGAGCUUUAGCUGAAACUUCUUCAAUCUCAGGAAAAUUUUUCUCAAAACCUGAAUAUGCUCCUUUUCUGUUCGGGAUUUUGUGAUCAUAUCAUCAACGUAGACCUCAAUUUCUUUGUGCAUCAUGUCGUGAAAUAAGGUUAUCAUGGCCAUUUGAUACGUUGCUCCAGCAUUCUUCAACCCGAAUAACAUCACCCUAUAGCAAAAAAUCCCCCAUAAGGUUAUGAAUAUGGUCUUUUCCAUGACUUCAGGAUGCAUCUUUAUCUGAUUGUACCCAAAGAAACCAUCCAUGAAGGAGAACAGUGAGUAACCUGCCGUGUUGUCCACCAAAGUGUCGACGUGAGGCAAGAGGAAGUUGUCCUUUGAACUGGCCUUGUUUAAGUCCCUGUAAUCUAUACACAUUCUCAUCUUUCCAUCUUUCUUAGGGACAGGGACAAGUUAGCUACCCAUUUUGAGUAAUUAACAACUUGUAAGAACCCAGCAUUAAAUUACUUCCGGACCUCUUCUCUUAUUUUUACUGCAACAUCGGGUCUCAUCCUUCGAAGCUUCUGUUGAACAGGCUUGCACUCUUCUUUUAUGGGGACCCGAUGCAUCGCAAUAUCAGCGCUUAGCCCAGGUAUGUCUUGACAUGACCACGCGAAGAUAUCCUUGAACUCUUGCAGUAAAUCAAUGAGGUCCCGUCUUGUUUCCUCAAUUAUGCAAGUUCCAAUGUUCACCUCUUUCCCCUCUUCUAAGGUCACACUCUCGAUUGUCUCUUUAUGGGGUAGAAUCUGUUUCUCUUCCUGUUCUACCAACGUUAAAAAAUCUGAAGGUAAGUUACUGUCGUCAUCAUUUUCAAAAUCCUGAGAUCCCUCCAGACACACGCCUCGCUCAAAAAGGAACUCUGGGUUUGUAACAGCGUCAACUCAUGCCAUUGAUAUCUAGAGACCUAUUGUAGGCACGAAAGAAUAUCCAACAAACAAAUGAACCGAAGUAUAGCUCAGAAUAAGACAUGAAAGUGCAUUUAUGUUGAAAUAAAUAUUUUGAACAUGAGCCUAUUUCGCAAAAGAUUCUUAUUGCUACUAGGCUUUUAAAACAACAAGUGUGUUUUGAACAUUACUCUGUAUUAGCACUAAAAACUAUAGGAAUUUCCUCCGCAGUCCAGUUGUUCAGAACACUUCCAGGCUCAUAAGGGCGAACGCUUGCUAAGUCAUGUUUCAUCACUUUCUCUUCAGAUAUGACAUUGAUAUUCAAAUUUUUCAUUGCGUCUUCAGUUGUUCCCUUUCUUGUCAUCUUCAAUUCAGGAUAAAUAACUCCACUUGACACAAAUGUAUAGGAUAUAUGGGGAAAAGUCAUUGAUUCCCACUCAAGUUCUGCUCCAUUCAGUCGUGGUCUUCAUUUUCUCUGCCUCCUUUUCAUCUCCUUUCUUUUCUGCUUUACAUCUGGCCUAUACCCUAAGCUAAAGCGAUAUUGUUUAUCAGCCAAAUUUGGCACCUCAACUCGUCCAUGAAGAUACUUUCCAAGUCCUCUUCAGGCAAUGCUCCUAUUCUCACUGUUAAUUGUAAGCUCAUCCUCGUAGCCUCAGACAUUCUUGGCAUUAGGACCUUGCCCCUUUAAAUGAUGAAAGUUGCAUUUACAAACUCUAAUAACCGAAAGGAACACUAAAUUACUUCAUCAUCAUUUUCUAUAUACGGUACACUACUAGUAACGGAUGCAAUAAUGUCCUCCUCAGCAUUUAUCGUUAUCAAGUGGCCCUCCGUCACUAACUUUAACUUUUGGUGCAAUGAUGACGGUAUUGCCCUUGCUGAGUGAAUCCAAGGCCUCUCCAACAAGAAAUUAUAAGAAGGCUUGAUAUCCAUCACAAGGAAAUCUACCUUGUAUGUGUUUGGUCCGAUCAGCAGAGGUACCUCAAUCCUUCCCAUCACUUUCCUCUCAAUGCCAUCAAAUGCCCUUACUGUGUUAUGGCAUGUCUUCAUAUGAGAGCUGUCUAUUGGUAACCUAUUUAAUAUGGACAAGGGCAAAACAUUCAGCGCUGACCCAUUAUCAAUUAAUACCCCCGGCAGUGUAUACCCUUUGUAGCGAGUGGUGAUGUGCAAAGCCUUAGUGGAUCCCAUGCCCCCUGGUGGUAUUUCAUCGUCACUGAAAGAGAUGAAGUUAUCGGCGCUUACGUUACUGAUAAUGCGGUCUAGCUUGUUCACUGAAAUAUCUUCAACGACAUAGGUCUUGUUCAACACCUUCAUCAACGCAUUUCGGUAAACCUCCAAAUUUUAGAGCAAAGCUAGUACCGAUGUGCGUACCAACUGCUUGUGCAACUGUUCCACAACACUAUACUCACUGUGUUUUAGGAACUUUAAAAAUUCUCUAGCUUCAUAUUCAGUUAUGGUUCAUUAACCAGUGGUUUUGUCCUCUCUUUCCCUUGUUCAAUCAUCAUGGACUUCCCUUUUCCAGGUUCGACCUUUGUACUUGGCGUACUGACCAGACUCUCCUCCCUUGGAUAUGUCACAUUACAGUUGUAAUUCUAAGGCACCCUUUUGUUAUCCUUAUACGAAAAAGCCGCGGGUCUCUGGAUUACAACUCUCGGUGUAAUUUUUGCUCCAACUUCAUUAAUUUUCAGUAGCAAAAUGAUCACCACUUGGUGAUUAACCUCAGAAACCUUCUCUAUCAACCCCUCAUCCGAGGUGCAUACAUCUUCCUUCUCAGUAAACUCAAAGAACUCUAGCUCUUUGCUGUCCAUUAGAGCAUGUACCAGGGCUCUAAAUUUAUUACAUGUUUCUAUCUCAUGGCCCUCCUCUCCAUGGAACUCACAAUAGUUCCCUGCUUAUCGGGAUUUGCUCUCAAAAUAUUACAUAAUUAGACUUUUCCCUACCAUCUUCUUCAAAACCUCCCUCAUCGGGGUUCUUACUUCUGCCGCAUCCAAAUUAAUUCUCCUUCCUAUAUUCUCUAUUAUUGCAUUUACCCCUUUAUCAGUAUGAUUGGGUAGUAAAUUUCCUACACCAGGUGCAUCAUCGAAUUUCAAAACACCCAUGUUGAUGAGCCUUUCGACUACCCUCUUAAAAGAGGUGCAGUUCUCUAUCGAGUGACCUGCGAUUCUAGCAUGAUAUUCACAUUGAGCACUUGCAUCAUACCACUUAGGGUAUGGGGGUUGCAGUGGUUUUAAGUAGAAAGGAGAUACAACGUGUGCAUCAAACAAACUUUUGUACAGCUCCCGAUACGUUACUGGAAUGAGAGUAAACUGGGGCUUCUCCGUGUUCUGCUUUGUAUUGGGUUCCUACCUUGGCGAAGCUUGCUGGUCCAUAGCUACCACUUUCGGUUGAUUUACCAUGAUUGGCUUCGCAUAACCCAUAUUCACAUUGCUGACUUCAUUUUCUUUCUUUUUUGGGGCUGAUCUCCUGGUACUUUCCCCUGCCUCUAUCUUUCCGUACCGUAUUGCAUUCUCAAUCAUUUCACCAGACAUAACUAUAUCCGCAAAACUCUUAGUUGAGCUUCCCAACAUGUGAUUAAUAAAAGGUGCCUUCAAGGUAUUAAUGAAAAGCAUGGUUGUUUCCUUUUCCAACAGUGGGGGUUGGACUUGUGUAGCAAUCUCCCUCCAUCUCUGAGCAUAUUGCCUGAAACUUUCAUUUUAUUUCUUCUCCAUAUUCUGUAAUGUGAUCCUAUCAGGCGCUAUGUCAGUCACAUGGCCAUAUCGUUUCAUAAAGGCCUGAGCUAAGUCUUUCCAUGAUUUAACUUGGCUACGAUUCAACUGAUUGUACCAUUUGGCUGUAGCCCCAGUCAAACUGUCCUGGAAACAGUGGAUCAAUAACUGAUCAUUAUUGACAUGACCAGUCAUUCUCUGACAAAACAUCGUGAUAUGAGCCUCAGGGCAACUAGUUCCGUUGUAUUUUUCAAAUUCUGGCAUUUUGAACUUCAGAGGGAGUACCAAAUUUGGGACCAGGCUCAACUCCUUGGCAUCCAUUCCACAAUGAUAAUCAGCCAUUUCCAACGCCCUAAAUUUUUCCUCUAACCACUUGUAUCGGUCUUCUAAUCACUUUGGAAAUUCUGCUCCUGCCUUUCCUACUUUCGCGACCUCAUCGAAGUCAGGGACUGUAGGAUUUGCACGAUUGUCUUCGGGGUUAGAACACGAGCCCAUUGGAAAAUUUACUGAUACCGAAAUACCAGUAUGAUAUUAGGGUUUGAUACUGACAAACACCUUUUGCGGAGGCACAGGGUGUUUGUUGGGGUGAAACUCGGAGGGUAAGUAAGAAUCCCACUAUCAUCCUCAGCAUUGAUCAUGAGACUCUUUCACUUUUCCGGCCUUCCUACUAGUAGUUGAGUCAAUUCACUCAUCAUACUCCUCUGAGAUUGCUGCAUUUGAUCUUUCAUAUCUUGCUAUAUCUUAGCUAAUUGCUCUUGCAUUUGCGCUUGCAUCUGUUCCUGCAUUUCUUUCUGCAUUUGCUCCAAUUUUUCCAACCUUUGAUCCAUAGCUUUGGUCUUUUUCCGUGUGUAGUAUUGAUGUUCCAGGGUAACUAUAAUACAAUUUUUUAAUCAGGAUUCUUUUGUGAAAUUUAAUGCACAUGAUGCGAUAAAAUGAAAAUGUAUGAAAUGUAUGCAAAACUAAAGAGACGUCGAUUCUGAUUCAAUUUCAUUUAAAAACUUUAUUAGAAAGAAAAAUCCUUUACAUAAAAUAGAUCAUAUAUACGGCUUAGCCCUAAUGCUCAAAGUUUUAACUUUCUUAAGAAGGUACGCUAGCUCACGACCCCGGUCCGACUCUAACUCAUACUUUACACUUAGCACAUCAGCUUGAACCGCUAAGGUCUGUAGAUAAUCAGCCACUUCUCGAAUCUGAGCCACGGCUUCACCCAUGAUAUGAUCUCUAUCCUUGACCUGGUUCUGCGAUUGGCGAAGCUGUUCCUUCCACUCUCAUUGUUCGACUCAAAUAAUUCAAUUCGAAUCUCACAGUUUUGUAGUGCAGUCUCGAGCUCUUCUACCUUCCCUUUCAAAUCUUCAAUCCUACUCAAGCUGGCUCUUAAUUCAAUAUCAGAGUUACAACCACGAUGCUGAUACAGGGUCUUUUCCAGCUCCGCUACCCGAGCUACCAACAUCUCUUUAUCACCUUGGCCUUCAACCAAGCUCUUUUUUAAGGCGCUUUCACGUGUUCGAGCAUCAUGAAACCUCUUCUCCCACUGAUCAGCUCUAGCCUUUUCCUCUUGAAUUUCCUGUCGCCACUGCUCUUACGUCUUCCCCAACCCGGUAGUUCUCAUCGACAUACGUAGCUUCUUGUAAUCAGUUUUCAAACUGUCCAGGUCUUCCUCAACCUUCUUUUUCUCUUUUCUCAACCUUUCGACCUCGAGUUUCUGAACGUCGGCAUCUAAUCUCAAAUGCAUCUUUUCCUCUUCCAAUUGUUCUAUCUUUUCCCUAACUCCGCAUUUUUCUCUUCGAAGUCCCGUUUUACGAUUUCAAGCUCAGAGGGGAUUACUUGCAAAUAUCCUUCCAUUAUACGAACAUCCUCUAAACUCGACUCGGGGAUAUUAUCAUUAACUCUUUUACUCAAUCACCCAUUGUAUUCAAAAGUCGUCAUUGAUCCAAUAACCAAACUCUUCAUCCGGCACGUCUGUUUCCAAGCAUCUGAAAUCUCUUGAACCUUCUUCUUAUAAUUCUUCCCCUUAUACACGAACUCACUCUGAGCUAAUCCAUGUGUCAUCGGUAUAGACUGCCUUGACCUGUAUUGUCUUAAAACGAGUAAAUGGGCAUAACCAGCAGCUCCCCAAAUUCCAAGUAGAGGUACCCAAUCAAAACUCCCACACCGAUAGAGGAUCUCAUCAGGAACAAAUUAAGGAGCUCUUCACUUAACAUCCUCUUUCUGAAGAUUUCGGAGAAGCGCGAUCCAAUUUUCUUCUGAUAUGUCAUCUCUCCUAGACAUGGCUGCUAUCUCCUUUAACGGGGAGUAACUCUUGAAAAAAAACCCUAUAGGAAACCUUAUCCACCUUCCAGAAAUGGCUGUGGAACCAAGCCAACAAUAACUGCUCACACCCUAUAAAUCUACCUUCACUUACCCUCCGACCUGCACUCAAAGAUCUGAAUGUCUCAGCAAGAAUUGCCAGCACCGGUGUGACCCCUUUAUUAAGUCGAUCAAAGAAAUCGGCAACUGCUUCAUCUAUAUGCCUUAAAGCCUUGGGGAAAAUCACCAAACCAUAGAUACUCAAGGCGAAGACGUCAACUUUCCUCUUUGUAUCUGGAUGUGCUACGAUCAGGUCCCUCAAAAUUACCCAAGGAACACACCUACCAUCACAUUUUUCAUGAAUUCGAGCUAUAACCCAUUGUUCACUCAUCCCAGUGAUACUCAUUAACUUCUUUAUAAAAGCUGGGGCACUAGCAGCAUUGGAAUAAACUUUUUCGACUUGAACCUUUGGACAACGAAACAAAGCCGUAUACUCCUCCACAGUAGGCACCAAGUCCACCUUCCCGAAGGUGAAACAACUAUACACCGGGUUCCAAAACUGAGCCAUAGCCCGAAACAAGUACUUGUCCACCUUGAUAUCGAGCAGAUAGGGUAAGUCACCAUAACUUUGAUAGAAUAGUUGCUUGGUUUUAUCAUCCCAACAGCCCAUAUAUCCCUCAAUUCCUGAAACUCGUUUUGGGUCACGUUGAUGCGAGUGAAGCCCAACAACCCCGAUGUAUACCCCUUAGCUAGGCUAUCCCUUUUCUCAAGUUGCAUAUUCUCUGACCACAUACGGACAGCCUCAUUAUCCUCUACUUUAUCAAGGAAUUCGCUUUCCAUAACAAGCUUUCUAAUUUAGCAACCGAACAAAAAUCGACACCUCUUUAAUAUGAAAUGACAUGCAAAACAUAAUCACAACAAAACACAACAAGUUAGUAUCGAAAAAUAAAAAUUUAAGCAAAUAGAAAAUAAUUAAACACCUAAUUGGGUAAUCACUAGAGUUCAACAUAGCUCUACCUAGGGCGGGCUCCUAGAGUUCACUAUAUGGGGCUCGGUUCUAAGAAAAUAGUACCUGAACUAGUAGAUUCCUCAACCCUCACCCAUUAUAGGCUCAUGCGGAUCAAGUUCAGUUCAGGGGAAUACAUUUCCCUUUGGCCAUGCGGAGGUGAAAACCUCACAAAGACAUAGGUACGAAUGUAUCCCGGAAGCAAUCCACUAGCCCAUGCGGAGGUGAAAACCUCACGAAUGCAUAGUGUCUCACUCCCACUUAAAAAGGUACGACCACAACGGUCAUGCAAGAUGAUGCGAAGGGAUAUAAAAAAAACUCAAAAUGUAAAACACGAAUAAAAUGAAAAAACCAUAAAACCCAUGAAAUGCAAUAAAAGGAUUGUAUGUUAAAAUCUAAAUUUUAAAUUUUCGACAAAAGGACAGAAAAUAAUCAAUUUUAUGGCUUGACUCUCUUAUUGGUCCCCAGUGGAGUCGCCAAGCUGUCGAAACCAUUUUUAUUUUGGAAAACGGGGAUCGACUUUAAAAUGAGGUAUGGAGUCACCACCGACUUUUUUUGAGGUGUAAUCGGAUCACCUUGAGGUUGAUCAUUUUAAUAAAAUAUUUAAUUUAUUAAAAUAAUAAUUUUAGGUCUACAAAAAUUGAAAAAGAGGGUUCAGGAGUCGGUUACGCUCGAGGAAGGGUUAGCACCCCCGUAACGCCCAAAAUUGGUACUAAUUGAUUACUGAACGUCCUAUCGUUGAAAAUUUGGAAAAAAAAAUUUAAAAUACGAUUCCUUUAAAAAUGUAUGAACAAUUCAAAUUGGAUUUUUAGGUUCACUUGCUCCAAAGAAAUAAAAUACCACAUCCAGCACGUUAGGACACAAUACUUUAAGCCUCCAAGAACUGAGAUCACCCCAUAAUUUCCAAAACACGCAACGAAUUCUUAGAAGGGUAUUCCGUUAUUUGGCCAAACGGAUAAAUCGAAACCCAACACGUUAGGGCACGAUUUCCCGAAUUUCCAAACACAAAACAUUGCCUUGAUUUGUGAAAUUUCAAAUAACCAAUUACAAAACCGAGUCAAAGUAUACUUGCUUGAUUUGUUUGAAAUAAAGGACAAUCGAUAUUAAGCGGAUAUGAGAAUUAUAAUCACGAUGCAACAAUAAAAAUAUAAUUAUAUAUAUAAAACAAUAUACUAUGGAGGAAAAAAACUCACAAUACAUAAGACCAUAUGAAAACUAGGAACCUUCGCAAAACAAUUCAAAAACCCAUAUGAAAAAUAUACCAAGGAGUAACACAUGUUAAAAUUCGACAUAACUUAUAUGUAUAUAAAAACUGAUAAUAGAUAAAUAACUAUUAAAACAUAUAAUAUACAAGAAGGGAUUCGAAAUAAAUAGUGUAUAACAUAAUUUCAAGUAAAACAAAUUGAUGUGAUUAAUGAUGCAUGUAAGAAAAUAAAAAAAAAUACAUAUACAAAGAUACUAAAAUAUUCGAAAGGAAUAAAAUAUACAAUUUAAAAUAAGAUCCUAAAAAGAAAGCCAAAUUAUACAUAAAUAAAUUUUAAAGAAAAUAUAUAUAUAAUAAAUUUAAAAGAAAAUAUUUACAUAAAAUAUUAUGAAAACAAUAAUGUAUAUAGAAUGGAGCUAAUUUUAUCAAAAAAAAGAAAAAAAAUAUAUUGUAUAAUAAUAUAUAAAAAUUAUUUUAACUAUAUACUAUACCAGAAUUUAAAAUGAUACUACAUAAAAUAGAAUUUUAAAAUAAUACUUUACAAUUUGAACGAAUAAAAAAUAAGGUAAAAUUAUUAAAGCAGCCCAAAAUGUAUGUUUAAAUAAUAUAUUUUUUUUAAAAAAAGUUGAAUGUUAAAUAAAUUAAAGGAGUAAUGAAUUAUACAUGUUGAAAUGGAAAUAAGCUCAAUUGAAAUAAAACUAAACUAAAUGGGACAAUGAAUAAGUAAAAUAAGCCAUUAAAACCAAAAUCAGGACCCAAAUGUAGCGCGCGUAAAUUUGCAAGGACCGAAAAAGAAAAUAAACCAUGCCCCAAAACAAUUCCUUUCAGCGCGGACUGAAAUGAAUGGACACGCAAAUUCCUGGGACAAUUUAAAAGAACAGAAAAUAUAAACAAGCUUCAAUUACAAGCCAGCGCAAGAGGGAAGGGACCAAACGCGAAGUUAACCAUUUAAAGAAAUUGGGCGCACAGACCAAGUCAAAAGGGUGUCUGUUCCUUCCCCCAAUGCUAGUCCCUUUUAUUGCUUUAAUUUAAAGCCUAUUUCAAAACUUUUUGCUUAAAAACAUUUCAAUUCUUGUUUGUUUUUUCUUUAAAAAAAAACUUUUGAGAUACUCUCAACUCACGCCUCCUCUUCUCCCCUUUUUAGCCGGCACCGAUCCCGUCAAAGAUCUGUCGCGCCAUGGCCACUGAUGAAGGCCCGAUUCCGGCGACAGGCUCACGAUAACAGGUACUUCCCUUCCCUUACUUCUUGAAUUUCAUAUAUAAAAAGAAUGAAAUAAAAAAAAACCGAAAGAAAAUCAAAGAUAGAAAAAUAAUCACCUUCAAAAGAUCUUGUUUGAAUCAAUUUUGUUUGCAUGCUUUUUCGUACUCAAUCCGUAUUCAAUUUCUCUCAAAAAAAAGAGUUAAAAAAAACCAUUUACAAUCAAAAUUUAGAGGCUUUAUACCCCAAAACAAGCGGUUUUUGGCCAUUUUGCUCAUGCUGCAGGUCUUGAAGACAUGGGGGCGGAGAACACCGAUGUGGGGUGAGCAAUGCGCGAGUCGGGGGUCUUGCGUGGUGCAUGGAGGCUGUUGGUGGCCAUUGCUACGGAGCGAAAUAGAUGGAAACCCUAGAGUUUUCGAAUUUGGGCCUAGUGUUGUUGGGCCAUUUGUAACUUGGCUUGUAUUUUGGGCUGUUUUAUGUAAUUGGGUAUUUGGGCUUAUUUGUAAAUGGACUCAUUUGAUGAUCUGUUUUAAUUUUGGUUUUUUGUAUGUGUAAUCCGGGCCAAAAUUGGGUCUUACACUUGCUCCCUACCAACUCUUCCAUUACCAUCCCUAAUUGCGUACCUCUUACCACAAGCAUUGCAAUUACUUGAUCGAAAUUAACCAUUUUUAAGUGGAUAAAUUCUGCUAUUAAUCCAUUUAUUAUUUGUAAGUUAGAGAAAUUAACCAUUUUUAAAUGGAUAAAUUCUGCUAAAAUUGCUGUCC
This 26385-nucleotide long non-coding RNA is filed under the name Gossypium barbadense (sea-island cotton). RNAcentral's name for it is "long non-coding RNA (GBAR_LNC002715)". The record is from RNAcentral. Lineage: Eukaryota; Viridiplantae; Streptophyta; Magnoliopsida; Malvales; Malvaceae.